This 334-nucleotide unclassified non-coding RNA is filed under the name soil metagenome. Its description in RNAcentral is "partial contains 5.8S ribosomal RNA, internal transcribed spacer 2, and large subunit ribosomal RNA". The stretch from base 1 to 120 matches the Rfam family "5.8S ribosomal RNA", at positions 35 to 154 of the family's 154-position model. The record is from RNAcentral.
GAUGAAGAACGUAGCGAAAUGCGAUAAGUAAUGUGAAUUGCAGAAUUCAGUGAAUCAUCGAAUCUUUGAACGCACAUUGCGCCCCGUGGUAUUCCGCGGGGCAUGCCUGUUCGAGCGUCAUUACACCACUCAAGCCUCGCUUGGUAUUGGGCGACGCGGUACGCCGCGCGCCUCAAAUCUUCCGGCUGGUUCGAAUCGUCCCUCAGCGUUGUGGAAACUAUUCGCUAAAGGUGCGCGUUUCGGUCACGCCGUUAAACAAGCCAAUUGCAUUAAAGGUUGACCUCGGAUCAGGUAGGGAUACCCGCUGAACUUAAGCAGAUCAAUAAGCGGAGGA